CGACAUAUUAAAGUCAUACACUAUCGUCGAGCAUCGUUAGUCCUCUAUUUGAACACGGAGAUUCGCGCUGAAUACGAUCGCGGGGAAAUUAAACGGAAACGUGUGACACGUCGGACUAGACUAGACAAUGGAGUAGCGAAAAAAUUGGGGACUGUAGAGGAAAAACACCAAAAGUCACAUUUCUUCUUUUUACAGAAAAGCAGUUUUAAGAUUUGCCAUGUUGUCAAUUUAUUUCAUAUUACCAAAAUUGCCUUUGUAUUUGGUUUUCAGACUAAACUUUUUCCCGUCAUGACGUUAUUGGUGCAAUAAAUGCUGUUUCUUCGACAGUUUUCAUUUAACGAUAUCUGCGGAAAAAGAACGGAUCGUGAAAUUGCAGCGAAUCAUUCAAGAAACGCGCCAGGAUUUGCAAACGUGAACGUUGAAGAAACGACGAGAGGAAAACCGAUCGUUAGAGCAAACCGAGAAGACUUACUUAACGAUCAUUAUAUUUUCAAACGCUGCUUUCACUUGUCGCCAUUAGGCAUCGAUGAUGUUCCUAACAUUGCCUAACAAACUCGAACGGACCAUAUAUCUCUUCCACGUCGAUCGCUAUACGUUGCGUCUCGUAACCACAAAGCCGCCCUUCCUAAAAUUUUCAAUUUUUAUACAGGUUAGCACGCGUCUCAGCACUCUCUUUGUCUCACCAUCUUCUUUACCACAC
Molecule: long non-coding RNA, 700 nt
Organism: Bombus terrestris (buff-tailed bumblebee)
Lineage: Eukaryota; Metazoa; Arthropoda; Insecta; Hymenoptera; Apidae
Exons: 3
Source: RefSeq, a predicted model, not a curated record